Spea bombifrons (plains spadefoot toad) is the source of this 1049-nucleotide long non-coding RNA. RefSeq lists it as uncharacterized. The transcript has 2 exons. The record is from RefSeq and is a predicted model, not a curated record. Lineage: Eukaryota; Metazoa; Chordata; Amphibia; Anura; Pelobatidae.
CACGUUUCCUCUUUCAACUGUGAACAAAGCUAUUCCAACCUAAGAGGAUAAGAAAAGGGAGCACAGUGUCACACAGAAAGUCCCUAUGGAAGCACCACGAGUACUACCUCCACAUGGACAGCAGAGGAAACUGAGUUCAAGCAGAUCACAGAUGACGCCAUUGAAUUCAGCUCUUAAGUGUUUUAUGCUGAUAAAUAUCAGGGUACACCGGAAAUCGAAAGUAACUUGUGGCGAAAUAUAAUGCAGCCUUUUUUUUCAUGUGCAAUUUAGAAAACUGGCAAUUGUGCACUUAUCCGUUUAAUAAUCAACACCAAUACUACUCUAACAUUGAAAGUUCAGGGUAUAAAUAAGUGAAGUUGGUUUAUAUGGUAGAAAUCAACUACUGUAACUUUUCUAGCUAGGAGAAAGGUGUCUCCCGUUUUCUUUGAAGUUUAGUUCCGAAGCGAAUGCUAUAAUUUUUUUAUUUUUUUUUGACCAAAGAAUGGCCGUAGGAUCGUAGAUGACUGUGUCACUUCUUGUUUUGCACUAGAUACCGCUGGCUAGACUAGAGGAUCCCCUAAUCACCUGGCUCUGAUGGGAUACGUACGCUGGGGCAUUGCAUCAACUGUAACGGUUUUCCUUUCAAAUGAAUCUCCGGUUCAAUUUUUGUUUUUUUUUAUUUUUGAGUCCAAAGAUUCACUUUUUAUUUUUGCGCCUGACUAAUCAGUUGAGUAUCAUAAAUACUCGGCGUGCUCAGUAAAAUCCCUGAGCGUUGGCACUUGGCUCUAAAUAGAGCCAGUUGACAGGUUUGUAUGUCUCACUAGGUGUGCCGGUUGGACUGAAUUCAUACGUCGUCAAAUUUUAUACACUUCCCAGUAAGAUUUAAAAUCUAUUAAUUUAAACUAGUAGGAUGACUUUUUACAUUGUUAAAUGGAGCAGUCCCUACUGGAAUGUAAACCAUGUAUUGUAGAUAUGUGUUUUUUGGGGGGGGGUUUGAGCAAAUCGUGUAACACAGAAAUGUGCUUGAAGAAGGCAUGCACUAAGUAUGCAAUAAAUUGAAUGUGUGUAAA